Long non-coding RNA from Monomorium pharaonis (pharaoh ant), 1027 nucleotides. RefSeq lists it as uncharacterized. The transcript is spliced from 2 exons. The record is from RefSeq and is a predicted model, not a curated record. NCBI's taxonomy places the organism in Eukaryota, Metazoa, Arthropoda, Insecta, Hymenoptera, Formicidae.
AACAACAGACAGUUUGAGGAAACACCUUGGCUUUAGUUUGAUAAAAUUAAUAGAGAAUAAGUGACAGCAAAAUAACAACACGUUGCCUUUAUUUGGCUAUCUGGGUAAUACAAGCUCUAUGGGUGCACAAGUCGGUCGCCAUUUUCUGGUCAGAUGUCACUUCUUGUUUAUAAAUAGCUAUAUAUAUUCACAUAUAUUGCCGAAACAUCAGUCAUGUGUGAAAGUUAUUGCGCGGUAAAGAAUGUAAAAACGUGCGGUUUCGUGAGUGCAGUUAAGUUUAAAGUGUUUGGUAGUAAAGAAUGUGUUGUGCUAUUUUUUGUCUUUCUGGGUCUUUUCUUUUACAUGAGAAAAGUAAAGGCCGAGAAAGACUUCUGUUUCAGAUCCAAUGAAAGCGAACAGAGAUUAAGUAUGAAUCAUAAUUGUUCAUAAUUGCAAUAUAAGAUCAAGAGGUAGUAACGCUUCUUAGAAAUGAUUAGACGUUAUGAUUCAAUAUCUACAGACAGUGAAUGGCAAGAAAUUGAAAAUAUAGCAAACUAUUUAACAAGAGCAUUAAAACAGCAACAGAAAUUUCUGGGAUAGAAUAUCCAACAAUCAACCUUGCACUUUUAUUUAGGUUUGUAAAAUGUUUUUAAAUAUAUAUUUUUUUUAAACUCAAAAUUAGGAAUAGUAUUAUAAAAUGUAUAAAUGUGAAAUUUAUGCAGCUUUUGUAUUUUUACAUUAUAAAAAUUUAUUUUAUAUAAUAAAUUUGAAAGGAAUUUCUAUGUUACAAUGCCGUUACAAUAUAAUUCCUUCUUUAAUCUUUCCAGGGCAGAAAUUGAGAGUAACAUGUGUGUAAAGAAAGAUAAUUGUACAGGAACUUAAAAAUACUAUUUUACAAAAUCUAAAAGAGCGAUUUCCAAUUUACGAAACUUAUGUUGGUGGAACACUUCUAGAUCCGACUUUUCAAAAUGUUAAAGGUGUUGUGGAAUAUCUCGCAGAAAAAUGUAUGUAAUAAUAUAAGCAAAAAGAAAAAAUACCUUUUUUGAUC